RNAcentral lists this transfer RNA (69 nucleotides) under Luperosaurus angliit. RNAcentral describes it as "tRNA-Ala". The record is from RNAcentral. RNAcentral also lists the same sequence under 1 other name. Lineage: Eukaryota; Metazoa; Chordata; Lepidosauria; Squamata; Gekkonidae.
AAGACCUGUAAAACUCUAAAAUACAUCUCCUGACUGCAACUCAGACGCUUUAAUUAAGCGAAGGCCUCC